This 253-nucleotide ribosomal RNA is filed under the name uncultured bacterium. RNAcentral's name for it is "partial 16S ribosomal RNA". It matches the Rfam family "Bacterial small subunit ribosomal RNA", at positions 524 to 776 of the family's 1533-position model. The record is from RNAcentral.
UACGUAGGGUGCAAGCGUUGUCCGGAAUUAUUGGGCGUAAAGAGCUCGUAGGCGGUCUGUCGCGUCGGCUGUGAAAACCCGGGGCUCAACCCCGGGCCUGCAGUCGAUACGGGCAGGCUAGAGUGCUGUAGGGGAGACUGGAAUUCCUGGUGUAGCGGUGAAAUGCGCAGAUAUCAGGAGGAACACCGGUGGCGAAGGCGGGUCUCUGGGCCGAUACUGACGCUGAGGAGCGAAAGCGUGGGGAGCGAACAGG